GCAAUAAACCUAGCCCAAACACCAAAACAAACAACCACACACACAAACCAAACCAUUUAUCAAAACUAGUAUGUGCGACAGAACAUACACCAUUGGAGCAAUAGUAGUAGUACCGCAAGGAAACGCUGAAAGAAUAAUGAAAAACCAAAGCAACAAAAAGCAAAGAUCAACACUUGUACCUUUUGCAUCAUGAUUUAGCCAGAAAACCACAGACAAAAAGAAUUAAGCCUGUACCCCCGAAACUAGAUGAGCUACUACAGGGCAACUAUAAGAGUGAACCCGUCUCUGUGGCAAAAGAGUGGGAUGACCAAGUAGUAGGGGUGAAAAGCCUAACGAAUCUAGUUAUAGCUGGUUGCUCAAUAAACGAAUUUUAGUUCAACUUUAGGCACUGACAAGCCAACAAUACUUACAUCGAUAAGCCUAAAAGAUAUUCAAUGGGGGUACAGCCCCAUUGAAACUGGAUACAACCAAAACCUGAGAGCUAGUAAACCUUAUAACACCCGUAGGCCCUUAAGCAGCCACCAAAAACUCAAAGCGUCAAAGCACAAAACAGAAAAUACCAAAUGCACACACAAACUCCUGGCCACAUACUGAGCCACACUAUAAUAAUAGACGAACUAAUGCUAAAACUAGUAACAAGAGAAACUCUCUUAUAGCACACCUCUGCCCCAGUUAUAGAAAAACUGCUGAUAAUUAACAGACCAAAAAAGGUAAAAACACCUAAACAGCCUGUUUAAAACACUGUCACAAUCCAACACCAGGGGAGGUGCCAACAUUAGAGAGAUUAAUAGCUGUAGAAGGAACUCAGCAAAACUUGUCCCAACUGUUUACCAAAAACAUAGCCUUUAGCAACACAAGUAUUAAAGGUCCUGCCUGCCCAGUGAAACUUUUCAACGGCCGCGGUAUUCUAACCGUGCAAAGGUAGCGUAAUCACUUGUCUCUUAAAUAGGGACUAGUAUGAACGGCUAAAUGAGGACAAGCCUGUCUCCUACAACCAAUCAGUGAAAUUGAUCUUCCAGUCCAAAAGCUGGAAUAUAAACACAAGACGAGAAGACCCUGUGGAGCUUUAAACUUACUACCAACAAAUUUAUCUGGUAUAACGUUUUGAGUUGGGGCGACUUCGGAAAAAAACAAAACUUCCGAGAACAGAACCAUCACUUCUAACCGAGGCAGACAUGCCAAAACAAAUUUAGACCCAGUCACACUGAUCAACGAACCAAGUUACCCCAGGGAUAACAGCGCUAUCUUCUUCAAGAGUCCAUAUCGACAAGAAGGUUUACGACCUCGAUGUUGGAUCAGGACACCCAAAUGGUGCAGCCGCUAUUAAAGGUUCGUUUGUUCAACGAUUAACAGUCCUACGUGAUCUGAGUUCAGACCGGAGCAAUCCAGGUCGGUUUCUAUCUAUGACGCACCCUUUUUCAGUACGAAAGGACAAAUAAGGGAGGGCCCCUACUAACAGUAUGCCCUACAUCAACAUGACUGAAUACAACUAAAGUCACGCCAGCAACCACAUAACCCUGUGGCCAAAGAUAACGGCUU
This 1539-nucleotide ribosomal RNA is filed under the name Plestiodon elegans. RNAcentral's name for it is "12S ribosomal RNA". It matches the Rfam family "Bacterial large subunit ribosomal RNA". The record is from RNAcentral. Lineage: Eukaryota; Metazoa; Chordata; Lepidosauria; Squamata; Scincidae.